This 613-nucleotide ribosomal RNA is filed under the name uncultured bacterium. Its description in RNAcentral is "bacterial SSU rRNA". It matches the Rfam family "Bacterial small subunit ribosomal RNA", at positions 202 to 811 of the family's 1533-position model. The record is from RNAcentral.
CAAAGGGAGCAAUCCCGGCCAUGGAUGGGCAUGCGGCGCAUUAGCUAGUCGGCGGGGUAACGGCCCACCGAGGCGACGAUGCGUAGGGGUUCUGAGAGGAAGGCCCCCCACACUGGUACUGAGACACGGACCAGACUCCUACGGGAGGCAGCAGUGAGGAAUAUUGGUCAAUGGGCGCGAGCCUGAACCGGCCAAGUCGCGUGAGGGAGGACGGCCCUACGGGUUGUAAACCUCUUUUGCCGGGGAGCAACGGGCGUCACGUGUGGCGCCACUGAGAGUACCCGGAGAAAAAGCAUCGGCUAACUCCGUGCCAGCAGCCGCGGUAAUACGGAGGAUGCGAGCGUUAUCCGGAUUUAUUGGGUUUAAAGGGUGCGUAGGCGGAUCGUUAAGUCAGUGGUCAAAUUGAGGGGCUCAACCCCUUCCCGCCAUUGAAACUGGCGAUCUUGAGUGGAAGAGAAGUAUGCGGAAUGCGUGGUGUAGCGGUGAAAUGCAUAGAUAUCACGCAGAACCCCGAUUGCGAAGGCAGCAUGCCGGCUUCCGACUGACGCUGAAGCACGAAAGCGUGGGGAUCGAACAGGAUUAGAUACCCUGGUAGUCCACGCGGUAAACGAUG